UAGGGAAUCUUCCGCAAUGGGCGAAAGCCUGACGGAGCAACGCCGCGUGAGUGAUGAAGGUCUUCGGAUCGUAAAACUCUGUUAUUAGGGAAGAACAAAUGUGUAAGUAACUAUGCACGUCUUGACGGUAUCUAACCAGAAAGCCACGGCUAACUACGUGCCAGCAGCCGCGGUAAUACGUAGGUGGCAAGCGUUGUCCGGAUUUAUUGGGCGUAAAGCGAGCGCAGGCGGUCAAUUAAGUCUGAUGUGAAAGCCCCCGGCUCAACCGGGGAGGGUCAUUGGAAACUGGUUGACUUGAGUGCAGAAGAGGAGAGUGGAAUUCCAUGUGUAGCGGUGAAAUGCGUAGAUAUAUGGAGGAACACCAGUGGCGAAGGCGACUUUCUGGUCUGUAACUGACGCUGAUGUGCGAAAGCGUGGGGAUCAAACAGG
RNAcentral lists this ribosomal RNA (429 nucleotides) under Bacteroidota bacterium. RNAcentral describes it as "Bacteroidetes bacterium partial 16S ribosomal RNA". It matches the Rfam family "Bacterial small subunit ribosomal RNA", at positions 355 to 776 of the family's 1533-position model. The record is from RNAcentral. Lineage: Bacteria; Pseudomonadati; Bacteroidota.